UCGUUGGUCUUGAAAAAACGUUGCUGUUUUGGGUCUUUUAGCACACGAUUGGUUAAAAACUGCUUGAAAAUCUGCCUAUGAUAAAUCUUCUCUUCAAUGGUUCCAGAUGUGAGUAAUCUGCAAAUGGAAUGAAAGACAUGAAUCUGGAGAACAUUUUAACAGAGAAAGAUAAAAAAAGCUUGUGCUCAGAGAGCAAAACUGUCAUGCAUAGUAAAAAACAGGCAUCUCCAAAUUGCAAAUCUGCAAUAUGUAGAUAUAUUUCUGUAGGAAUGCAAAAGUUUCUUGAUUGUUACUGAUAAAUUUUAAUACUUAAUGGAAAUGGAUGUAAGCUCCACCCUUUUGGGUGGUUACCUGAUAUCUUUACAUAAAUUUCAUUUUCUUCCUAAAGCUACACAAUGUUCUUUAUUUUGCAGGUAACCUUAAAUAUACCAUCUAAUGCUGAAGGAAAUACCAUGAGGAUGAAGAAAAAACCAGGCUAACUACUUUUAAAAAGAAAGCACUUGGCUUGUAGUGGUUUGACAACACUUGAAUUAAAGUUUGAAUUAAAAAAUAGUAGGUACACUUGGAUUUAUCAGGACUGGAUAUGCACUGAAUGACCCGUUGUGAUCAGAAGCACAAUUCUUUCUAUCAGGCAUAUAAAUUAUCUGAAGAACUGCAGAAUACCAUGAUAAUUCUGUACCAUGAAAAGUAUAUAGAAAGUAUUAAAAAUAAAACUCAGUUUGCAAA
Long non-coding RNA from Macrobrachium nipponense, 726 nucleotides. RefSeq lists it as uncharacterized. The record is from RefSeq and is a predicted model, not a curated record. Lineage: Eukaryota; Metazoa; Arthropoda; Malacostraca; Decapoda; Palaemonidae. The transcript has 2 exons.